RNA transcript from Orcinus orca (killer whale), 4614 nucleotides. It is a transcript of the gene named phenylalanyl-tRNA synthetase subunit beta, with no coding region annotated. The record is from RefSeq and is a predicted model, not a curated record. Lineage: Eukaryota; Metazoa; Chordata; Mammalia; Artiodactyla; Delphinidae. The transcript is spliced from 15 exons.
GAAGACUGGCGCUACUCAAGACAGCCCGACCAAAGGGGCCGGGUCCUACACACCUCGGUCGCCAAGCCCCCGCCAGCUCGCCGCGCCGAGGCCAGCUCGCCGCGCAGGCGCAGUGGGCCGGACUCGCCAUGCCGACUGUCAGCCUGAAGCGCGAUUUGCUCUUCCGAGCUCUGGGCCGGACCUACACUGACGAAGAAUUUGAUGAACUAUGUUUUGAAUUUGGUCUGGAACUUGAUGAAAUUACAUCUGAGAAGGAAAUUAUAAGUAAGGAACAAGGUAAUGAAAAGGCACAGGGGGCCUCUGAUGUUGUUCUCUACAAAAUUGAUGUUCCUGCCAAUAGAUAUGAUCUCCUGUGUCUGGAAGGAUUGGUUCGAGGACUUCAGGUCUUCAAAGAAAGGAUAAAGGCUCCAAUGUAUAAACGGGUAAUGCCUAAUGGAGAAAUCCAGAAAUUGAUCAUCACAGAAGAGACAGCUAAAAUACGCCCGUAUGCUGUUGCAGCAGUUCUCCGAAACAUAAAGUUUACUAAAGAUCGAUAUGAAAGCUUCAUUGAACUUCAGGAGAAGUUACAUCAGAACAUUUGCAGGAAAAGAGCCUUGGUUGCUAUUGGUACCCAUGACUUGGACACUUUGUCAGGCCCAUUUACUUAUACUGCGAAGAAACCUUCCGAUAUCAAAUUCAAGCCUCUAAAUAAGACCAAGGAGUAUACAGCCUGUGAACUGAUGAACAUAUACAAGACUGACAACCACCUUAAACAUUAUUUACAUAUAAUUGAAAAUAAACCUCUGUAUCCGGUUAUCUAUGAUAGCAAUGGUGUCGUCCUUUCAAUGCCUCCAGUCAUCAAUGGACAUCAUUCCAAAAUAACAGUAAAUACUAGAAAUAUAUUUAUUGAAUGCACAGGGACUGACUUUACUAAGGCAAAAAUAGUUCUUGAUAUCAUUGUUACCACGUUCAGUGAAUAUUGUGAGAAUCAAUUUACGGUUGAAGCAGCUGAGGUAGUUUUUCCUAAUGGAAAAUUACAUACCUUUCCAGAACUGGCUUAUCGAAAGGAGAUGGUGAGAGCUGAUCUAAUUAACAAAAAAGUUGGGAUCAGAGAAACUCCAGAAAAUCUUGCCAAGCUUCUGACCAGGAUGUGUUUAAAGUCAGAAGUCAUAGGCGAUGGGAAUCAGAUUGAAAUUGAAAUCCCUCCAACCAGAGCUGACAUUAUCCACGCCUGUGAUAUCAUAGAAGAUGCAGCUAUUGCUUAUGGAUAUAACAACAUUCAGAUGACUCUCCCGAAAACAUACACCAUAGCUAAUCAAUUUCCUCUAAAUAAACUCACAGAACUCCUGAGACACGACAUGGCAGCUGCUGGAUUCACUGAGGCACUUACCUUUGCUCUGGCCUCUCACUGUUGUGGCCUCUCCCGUUGCGGAGCACAGGCUCCGGAUGCGCAGGCUCAGCGGCCAUGGCUCACGGGCCCAGCCGCUCCGCGGCAUGUGGGAUCUUCCCGGACCGGGGCACGAACCCGUGUCCCCAGCAUCGGCAGGCGAACUCUCAACCACUGUGCCACCAGGGAAGCCCUAAUCUUUUUUUUAAAUUAAUUUAUUUUAUUUAUUUUUGGCUGUGUUGGGUCUUCUUUUCUGCAAGUGGGCUCUCUAGUUGUGGCAAGCGGGGGCUACUCUUCGUUGCAGUGCGUGGGCUUCUCAUUGCGGUGGCUUCUCUUGUUGCGGAGCAUGGGCUCUAGGCGUGCAGGCUUCAGUAGUUGUGGUGCACGGGCUCAGUAGUGUGGCUCUCAGGCUCUAGAGCGCAGGCUCGGUAGUUGUGGUGCACGGGCUUAGUUGCUCCGCAGCAUGUGGGAUCUUCCUGGACCAGGGCUCGAACCCGUGUCCCCUGCAUUGGCAGGCGGAUUCUUAACCACUGCACCACCAGGGAAGUCCCAACACCUUCCUUUUUCUGGUUUAGAAAUCUUUUAUUCAACAACAUUUAUGGAACAUCUGUUAUAUGCCAGGCACUGUGCCAGUGAGGAAGCCGGAGGCCAAGAGAGGAUAAGUACCCAGCAAAGUUUACACAGACAGCAGGAGAACCAUGACCAGAAUCUGGCCUUUUGACUCCUUGAGGAGUGCUUUUCUGUUAUGUCAAACUGAAUGCUAGGUUUGAGGACCAUGUCAUUCAUAUAUGGCCCACAUAUGCAUAUGCAGUCAGGAGCAGCAGUGAUUCCAUGUGAACUGAUGUACAAAAAAUAGCACAAGGAAAUGUAUUCUGUUCUUUUAGAAAUGUAUUCUAUUUUUUUAUAAUUAAGUGGCAAAGGAAUUUUGUAACUGUGUAGCCCCAUGCAUCUAAGGGGGAGCACGUUCUCUGCCUCCUGACAAGUAGCUACUCUGCAGAGAGAGUUUGUCUUCCACAAAGGGCUUUAUGUACAUGAUUCCAUCUCUCAGUGCAGCCCUGUGAAGUAGGUGUUUCUGUCUUACACAGCAGUUAAUUGAGGUAACUUGUCCCACUUCGCGCAGCCAGUUGGCUGUGGACCAGGGAUUCCAGCACAGGUCUGUCUGUACCCCAGGCCUGUGACUGAACUGUCCCACCACGAGUGCCAGAAACAGUCUGUUCAGUUGUCCAAGGUCACUUCAACGCUUUAUCACAGUGGGGCGGGACAGGGCGGGGGUCAGAAUUAGGUGCUAGAGAGUUUCAGAUUUGUAGUAACAGUUUUGCUAUAGGAAUUUCAACAUGAAAGGUAUUUAUAAAGUUACAUACUUUCUAAGCAAACCUAAACAUCACUGGGCCUUAUAUCUAGUUUUGCACAAGAGUAGCGGCCCUUCUCUUCCUAAAACCCAGCCCUUGACUUCCCAGGUGUAAGUAAUUCACAUAUCAUCAUCAUGAUUUUUGCUGUAUCUGCAUACCAGUUGUAAUAUUUUCAUUUAAAUUAGCUCACUUUUAAAACUAAAAACCUACUUCAGCCUUAUUUAAGAAUAAUGUUUGUAAAAAUUAUGGGCUUCGUUUACUUAUUCUAUUUUUUCUAACAAGUAAAUGUGUUUAUUUAAAAUAAACACAUAAAUAUUCUUAUAAACAUUCCAUCCUGUAUACCAGCUACUGCUGCUUCAGGAUACCUGAUUUAAAUUGCUUCUUACCUUUAUCCCUUAUGGUCCAUCAUCAUGAUAAAGUGCAAGGUCACUCAGAUAGCUAGCUGUGUAGCCAUGUGUCUGUGGGCCCUUUUUCUUUGAUACAGGCAGUAUUAGUUCUGUUUGAGAAUAGAUCGCAUCAUGUAAAUUGCAUUUCCUAACUGGUCACAUUAUGUCUAAAUCUUGUUAUUAAAACUCCUCCAUGUUAUGGAGGAAAAAAUGGUUAUCCCAGCAUGCCUGCUGCCAUUCUCCACUGCUGCAGCUAUGGCGGUGCAGGGAGCUCUUUUCUACUGUGCCUGGAUGUGUCUUCAGAAUCCUUCCUGAAAGAGCAAGGCAGAAGUCAUUAGAACUGGCAUUGGCAUCCAAACCCAUUCUUUUUUUCUAAGUGAAAUACAGACCACUAGUCCUGAGGACAGUUUUCUAUUUUCCAACCUAACGUUGGAAAAUAGAAAAGAGUAACUGAUGGUACAUCAGUUUUCAUGUUAAGUUUUAAACUCUUUCAAUGUUAACAUUAAUAUAUGUGAUAAUUGUUUAUUCUUAAUAAUGACAUUAGUUAUCAUCAUUAAUAUUUUUUGAUCACUUAGUUUGUGCCAGGUAUUGUAUUUGCUUUAUCUCACAGUCAUUGAGUUUUAUUUUCAGAAUUCUGCCUACCAUCCUGGUUUUGCGGGUGACAGGCAUCUUUCUCUUUUUGGUGGGUGAGUGCCUAGGAGCUUGUCCAUUACCCAGAGCUUUAUCAAGCACACCUGCGCGGAAGUUAAGUGACGUAGUUGAGGCCAUGGGAAUUCUGCUCUUAGUCCCACCAUUCUAUCACAAGUCAGUACAGAUUUUGCAGAGGUUACAAUAGUAGUCAAAACACAAAGUCAUAUGAGCACCAAGGAGGGAGAGAGAAUUUCUGACUGGAGUCAUUAGGGUUAUUUUUAUGGAAGUGGUGGAAGAGAUGUCUUUUAAGUAGAAUCUUUCAGGGGGUGGGGAGGCAGCAAGUCGGGCAGGGAGGGCAUUUCAGGUAAAGGUAAGGAAAAGUGUACAGUUCAGGGAAUGAGUAGGGGAUUGUAGCAGACUCGACUGGUAAGGUCAGUGGGAGGCUAGCUUAGGGGGGCCCAAGUACAGGUUACACCACCAGCUCCAUGUGAAAAAUGUACUUUAGCUCUGCAUCAUGGUUAGAACUCAUUGUAAGAGAAUUAUUAAUGUUAAAUUGCAUCUGCUGUGGACCUGAAUUUAAUUGAUAUAUGUUUAUUCUCAGCUUAUUCUUAGCUUACCUUAUAUAAUCUACAUUGCCAUGAGGCCAUCAAAAGUUGUUACAGCAUUAAAUACUUUUUUAUAUUGGAUUUAGUCAUUGCUUUUCCAUAUUGACCUGUUUUUAUGUAUUUCUUAGUGCUCCCAAGAAGAUAUUGCUGAUAAACUGGGUUUGGAUAUCUCUGCAACAAAGGCAGUCCUCAUAAGUAAUCCUAAAACAGCUGAAUUUCAGGUGGCACGCACUACCCUUCUUCCUGGCCUCCUAAAGACCAUAGCUGCGAAUCGGAAG